GGCCCGUUUUGGCACUAGCACAUUUUUGCUUUGAUUUGUAGCUUUUGAGCAAUUAUGUGUAGUGCCAAUAUGGGAGAAGGCGGAGA
This is a microRNA precursor of Malurus cyaneus samueli, 86 nucleotides long. NCBI's taxonomy places the organism in Eukaryota, Metazoa, Chordata, Aves, Passeriformes, Maluridae. The record is from Ensembl.